CCUACGGGCGACUGCAGUCGAGAAUCAUUCACAAUGGGGGAAACCCUGAUGGUGCGACGCCGCGUGGGGGAAUGAAGGUCUUCGGAUUGUAAACCCCUGUCAUGUGGGAGCAAAUUAAAAAGAUAGUACCACAAGAGGAAGAGACGGCUAACUCUGUGCCAGCAGCCGCGGUAAUACAGAGGUCUCAAGCGUUGUUCGGAAUCACUGGGCGUAAGGCGUGCGUAGGCUGUUUCGUAAGUCGUGUGUGAAAGGCGCGGGCUCAACCCGCGGACGGCACAUGAUACUGCGAGACUAGAGUAAUGGAGGGGGAACCGGAAUUCUCGGUGUAGCAGUGAAAUGCGUAGAUAUCGAGAGGAACACUCGUGGCGAAGGCGGGUUCCUGGACAUUAACUGACGCUGAGGCACGAAGGCCAGGGGAGCGAAAGGGAUUAGAUACCCCUGUAGUC
RNAcentral lists this ribosomal RNA (446 nucleotides) under uncultured bacterium. Its description in RNAcentral is "partial 16S ribosomal RNA". It matches the Rfam family "Bacterial small subunit ribosomal RNA", at positions 338 to 795 of the family's 1533-position model. The record is from RNAcentral.